CCUACGGGAGGCAGCAGUGGGGGAUAUUGCACAAUGGGGGGAACCCUGAAGCAGCGACGCCGCGUGGAGGAAGAAGGGCCUCGGCGCGUAAAACCCUGUUAGCAGGGAAGAAAAUGACGGUACCUGAAGAAGAAGCCCCGGCUAACUACGUGCCAGCAGCCGCGGUAAUACGUAGGGUGCAAGCGUUAUCCGGAUUUACUGGGCGUAAAGGGGGCGCAGGCGGGGAAGCAAGUCAGAAGUGAAAGCCCGGGGCUUAACCCCGGGACUGCACUUGGAACUGCGUGUCUUGAGUGUAGGAGGGGCAGGCGGAAUUCCUGGUGUAGCGGUGAAAUGCGUAGAUAUCAGGAGGAACACUGGUGGCGAAGGCGGCCUGCUGGACUGCAACUGACGUUGAGGCCCGAAAGCGUGGGGAGCAAACAGGAUUAGAUACCCGUGUAGUC
RNAcentral lists this ribosomal RNA (440 nucleotides) under uncultured bacterium. Its description in RNAcentral is "partial 16S ribosomal RNA". It matches the Rfam family "Bacterial small subunit ribosomal RNA", at positions 338 to 795 of the family's 1533-position model. The record is from RNAcentral.